RNAcentral lists this long non-coding RNA (512 nucleotides) under Glycine max (soybean). RNAcentral's name for it is "long non-coding RNA (GMAX_LNC004512)". The record is from RNAcentral. Lineage: Eukaryota; Viridiplantae; Streptophyta; Magnoliopsida; Fabales; Fabaceae.
GUUCACGCACCGUUUUCCGAGUCAAUGAACUCAACUAAAGAGGAGAGAACUCAAAAAAGGGUUGGUGCUGGGCCCCACCGUUCUUCUGCAGCGAGUGGCUGCUAACGCCUCUGCACUACUCGUCGACUCUUGUAAUUGCUCGCUAGCGAACUCGGCGACCCCAUGUAGCUCGUGCACCCGCUGCUGCAGCUGUUGUACGUGUUACUCGAACUCAUCUCCGAGUUGUCAAACUUGCCCAGCCCGAGUUGGUGUUGCUGGUGGUGAGCGGCGGCGGAGUACUGCAUUGGCGACGCCGUGGAUGCGUCCGGCGGAGAGAGGAAAUGGCUGAGGGAGUCGGCGUCGGCGCGUGAGAGAGAGUUACGGAGUGGCUAAAAGAGGAAGAGAGAGUUGGUGUGCGCUGAGGAAUUUUAAUUCCUUUUUUUUUAGAAUUUGAAAUGUUAUUAAGUUAAUAUAUUAAAAUGUUUUAAAAAAAUAAUAGUAUUUUAAUUAUUUUUAAAAUAUGUCAUCCGAAC